Molecule: ribosomal RNA, 250 nt
Filed under: uncultured bacterium
Lineage: Bacteria
Description: partial 16S ribosomal RNA
Rfam family: Bacterial small subunit ribosomal RNA
Source: RNAcentral
AACGUAGGAAGCGAGCGUUAUCCGGAUUUACUGGGCGUAAAGCGUGUGUAGGCGGUUUGACAAGUUGGAUGUGAAAGCUCCUGGCUUAACUGGGAGAGGUCGUUCAAAACUGUCAGACUCGAGAGUGGUAGAGGGAGGUGGAAUUCCGGGUGUAGUGGUGAAAUGCGUAGAUAUCCGGAGGAACACCAGUGGCGAAAGCGGCCUCCUGGCCCAUUUCUGACGCUCAGACACGAAAGCUAAGGUAGCAAAC